This 298-nucleotide long non-coding RNA is filed under the name Mus musculus (house mouse). RNAcentral's name for it is "long non-coding RNA chr2:29843762-29844060". The record is from RNAcentral. Lineage: Eukaryota; Metazoa; Chordata; Mammalia; Rodentia; Muridae.
UUCUCCAUCCUUUGACCCUGGCUGGCCUCCCCCCCACAUAGGCCACCAGAUGGGCUCCUGAGAUACUCUCCAGGCUGCCUACAACUCAUUCUGUUGCGGGUAGAGAAUGGAAGGGAGCAGCCUAACCGUAGGCAGAGGGGGCGGGGCCUCAGCAUGUGUAACUCCAGGCUUCCUGAAACAAGUGGGAUUUGGGUGUGCAGCACCUAGUGGGCAGAAGGCUGUGUGUGUCCCUUUCCUCUAUCUUCUGGAGACUUCAUGCCUGCAGCAGCUGGCCUCGGGCAAAUAAAAAGACUAAGUG